UAUUGUUUGGGUUGAAGAGGCAAUAUCGUCAGAGAGCAAUGCAGACUUGGGACAGGGAGGGAAGUUUUCAUCCUGCAGGGAGUUGAUCUCACCACCACCAAACCCCACUGUAAGUGUGAAGCCGGGCGAUGGGUUCCCCGGAGGGUGCCGAACUCUCGGUGUGGGUAUGCCAGGAGGAGAAGGUGGUGUGCGGCCUGACCAAGAGGACCAGCUGCGCCCAGGUGGUGAGAGCGCUGCUGCGGGAUCACCUCGCCCACGCCGGGGACACCAGGCUGCUGCACGCCCCGCCCCGGGAUUACUGCCUGGCCGAGAAGUGGAGGGGCUUCGAGAGGCUGCUGCCGCCCGCCACCAAGCUGCUCAGGCUCUGGCUGGCCUGGGGCCCGGAGCGGCGCAACGUGCGCUUCGUCCUGGUCAAGUGGGACGCCCGGCUGCCGCUGCCGGGCCUCCGCAGCGCCGAGGCCAAGGUGGUGCCCAGCAGCAACGGCCAGCCGGCAGAGAGGCGCCCGGCCGCCCGCUCCGUGCGGGACCUGCCGCGGGACAAGCAGAGGAGGAUGGUGAGGAAGGCCUUCAGGAAGCUGGCCAAGAUGAAGCGGCUGAGGCAGGGCCGGGAGCGCAUAGAGACCCUGGCGCACCUGAUCGUCUCGCAGGACCACACCAUCCGCCAGCAGCUGAGCCGGCUGCGGGAGCUGGACGGCGACAUCGAGCGGUUCGAGGGCCGCCUGCACUCGGAGCGGGUGCAGAGCGACGGCCAGAACUACGUGCAGGAGACCUACCUGGUGGAGGGCGGGCAGCUCCAGGAGUACCUCGAGAGGAGCGAGGCGGUUGGCCGGCUCGAGGAGGAGCUCGAGCGGCGCCGCGACACCGUCCAGAGGCUGAGCGAGGAGCUCGAGCUCGAGCAACUGUGGCACGCCGACAGCGGCCCCGAGCGGCCGGAGGAGGAGGAGGGCGGCGGCGAGGACGACGCCGACGACCUCAGGCUGCAGGGCGAGUUGGAGAGGAGCGCGUGGCGCGCGCGGCAGCUCGGCCGGAGUCUCGCGGACGUGCAGCAGAGGCUGCAGCAGCAAGAAGCUGAGCUGCGCGAGAAGGCGGAGGAAUACGAGCGCCUCGCGCGGCAGCUGGAGCGCCUGAGCCUCGAGGAGGAGGAGGCGGCGGCAGUUGUGGCGGAGGAUAGCGGCGGUGAAGCGCCCGGGCUGUGCCAGGGCUCAGCCGAGGGACUCGUCAAAUGUCCGCCUGGGAGCGGCUUCGCCUCUUCGGAGGUGAACGACACCGACUCGGACACGGGGAUCAGCUCCACCCACAGCCAGGACUCCGAACCGCCCUGUGUCGGAGUGUUUCCCACCCCGCAAAACUAUCUCUGAAUUGUCCUGUGGUUAGAUUCUGUUACCUCAUGAAUGCACCUGGAGGGACAGUAAUACUCCUGGGACACGACGCGUGAAAGCUCCUGCAUAUCCUUUAGAUAUUAGUACCUUUUCCUGGAUGAGCUGCAACCAACAUUAAAGAGCCCCACUAAUCUUUCAAGAAUGCAGAGGAGCAGCCACACAAUGGACUCAAGUAUUCUGCUGGACAUCUAACCUGUUUUCGGGUUCCAGUCAGCAAGGUUGUCUGAGGUGGAGCAUAAACCCAAGACUGUGACUGAUAGACAACAACACUGCCACUGCAGCAGUGAAUCUGGAUGAUAGUGUUGCAAUUGAAGUCAGCAUUUUAUUUGGAUGUCAUGUUCUAGUCUCCACUGGCCAGGCUUGAAUUGAAUAGCAGUCAAAUCUUUCAGUUUUACUUUGGAACCAUGCUUCUGUUAGUCAAAGACUCAAUUCUCCAAAUUGUGAGUAAUUAUUCAGAUUUUCUAUAUAUACUGAUAUAAAAGUGAUCAUAUGUUUUAGAUGUCAGCAUUGCUGUUAAAAAAACAGCAUUUAUUUCCCAUCCUUAAUUGCCUAUGAACGAAAGUGGUACUGAGCCACUUUCUUGACAAUGACGUACCAGGUCAUUUUAAAGGACAAUGAAGAACCAAACAUCCUGCAGUGGUAUUGGGUCACAUGUAGACCAUACCAAGAAUGAAGAGUAGAUUUCCUAAAAUACAUUAAUGAGCCAUGGGUUGCUAUGCUAAUCCAAUUAUUUUCAGGUGCUAUCUUAUCCUAAGUUUAUUUAAUUGCGUUUAAAUCCCCAGCUGUAUAUUUGGCUGCAAAAAAUUAGCCUGACAGUUUGUUUGAAGUUGAUCAAUCUUCUGAUAUGUUUAACGAUACUAGUUCCCUGGCCCUUAAGAGCUCAGUAGAAAGAUUGAUGGUUCAACAAUGCUAAGUUAGGUAUUUAAUGUCCUUCAGUACAUGUGUAAGGGUGUGUUUUGCAGAUUUAGCUUAAAAUGUAGUUAACAACAUAAAUUAAGCAAAUGAAAUUUGUUUCAUUUGCCUUACUUUGUGCAAUCUACAGCCUGUGAAAGUUGAAGUUCAGUAUCAUAUAAUGGUUAAAAACAAAAUACUAGGGAUGCUGGACGUCUGAAAUAAAAACAGAGAAUGCCAAAGGCACUUAGCAGGCAUGGCAUCACAUGGAGAGAGAAAUGGUGUACAUUUUGAGUCCAAAGACUCCUCUUCCAUUCCAGAGGAGAAUCUUUGAACUCAAAAUGUUGGCUCUGUUUCUCUCUCCACAGACGCUGCCAGACCUGCUGAGUUUCUUGAUCAUUUUGUAUUUACUUCACAUGAAGAUUACUUGCAUUAUACUUAUGCUUUCAGUGUUGCACUGUUUGGCCUUCACUUACAUGUCUCAAUUUAACAAAAAAAAACUACACCAGCAACCUUUGUGACUGAUAUUACUGCACUAAAAGUCACCUUAUUAUUAAUUGUCAAAAAUAUAGAGCUCACAUUAUGAAUCAGAUCAAUACAGGUCUCCUUUGUCAAUGGCUGAUUGACAUUUAUCUUAACAACCUAAUUUCACCAACUAUUUUCAGGAAACAGCAUGUUGUAAGUAUGGUGUUAGAAAAUGCAAGGAGAACAUAAACUAGCAAAUUACAGUAAAUGCGAUUUUAAAAAUGUUGUCAGUUUUCAUAACUGCAUUAACUGAACCGUUAAGUUACUCCCCAUCUGUAUUGUACAAUAGGAAGAAUGCAUUGUUUAUUUUUCAUUGGCCUCCUGGUUUACUUCCAAAUAAUUGUGCAUGAGAUGUGCCAAAUAAUUUAAAGGAAGGUUCUGUUGAAUCAGUGGUGAUGCAACAGUCAAGUCUACAGAGUGUUUUCCACAUUGGAGAUGAUAAAUCAUAUAUUCAACCAUACACUUGAGUUCUUUUUUAUGAUCUCUUUCUACUCGAGAUGAAAUUUUGUCAUACUUAAUAAUUGUGGUUUAUGAAAAUUUUCAGCGCAACAAUUAACAUAGAUGGCCAGUGUGUUCUGGUAUGUCUCAACUUAUUUGGUCUUGAUUGUCAAUAAAUCAUUUUCGAGAAUAACAUGGCAAAAAUCCAACGUGGCAAAAAUCCAAUGUGACAACAUAAGGUUUAAAUAAGCUUCAUAUGCAAUGGACUUCAAAGAGAUGGAAUGUGCAUUGUACGUGUCAAAUAGGUUUUUCAGUCAUGUCACAAAGAACAAACGAUAGCAAAUUCCAGAAUGUCUAUUGUACUAGCUUGUUACUAGUGCUUGUUCUUCCAGUUGACAUGAAACUUGCACUUCAAAUGCAUAUUUGAAUUUUGAAUUUUUCUAUAAUGUACAGCUGGGUAAGCCUGAAUUUUGAUCAAAUUAUUGUGCAUUAAACUUAAAAUGAUAAUUAUCUUUUUUCAAAAUCAAAAGUUUAUUACCCCAACCCUAAAGUUUCUUUAACAAAUUUCUGUUUCAUCUUAACAACUUCCUGCACUUAAUAUAUUUGCUCAUUGAUAUGUUGCAGAAAAAGUAAUAAGAAAUUGAUCAUCUAGCUUCAUACUCUGUUGGCACAGAAUAAGAUAACAAAUAAUAAAAGAUAAUAAAAUGGAACGGUCAUUAAUGAUGUUCACAAUAUAUUU
RNA transcript from Hemiscyllium ocellatum (epaulette shark), 3972 nucleotides. It is a transcript of the gene named ras association domain-containing protein 9-like, with no coding region annotated. The transcript has 3 exons. The record is from RefSeq and is a predicted model, not a curated record. NCBI's taxonomy places the organism in Eukaryota, Metazoa, Chordata, Chondrichthyes, Orectolobiformes, Hemiscylliidae.